AGACUGUCUCAUCUCGCUGUGUCCUUCCUGCUGACGGAGACUCGCUCAGCUUUACUGUCACUGCUGAUUUCUCUUCUGAGGACCUAAGAAAGGAGCUGUUAUGUCUGAAAAAGAGUCUGGAGAAGAUCAGGCAGUGGGCCAUCAUCACAUUGAGUCCAUCAGGUUGUGAAGCUCCAAUCUUCACCCUACAGCCUGAACCUCAGAGCAGAGAGGAGUUUUUACAAUACUUCUGUCCACUCACACUGGACAUCAACACGGCACACAGAGACCUCCAUCUGUCUGAAGGGAACAAGAAGGUGACAUGUGAGAGGACAAAGCCUGAAUAUUCUGAUCAUCCUGACAGAUUUUACUACUGGGAACAAGU
Molecule: long non-coding RNA, 364 nt
Organism: Erpetoichthys calabaricus (reedfish)
Lineage: Eukaryota; Metazoa; Chordata; Cladistia; Polypteriformes; Polypteridae
Exons: 3
Source: RefSeq, a predicted model, not a curated record